UAGGCAAAAAGUGCAGUGGAACAGGGCAGAAAAUAACACACUAACUUCAGACAACUGUUGCUUAUUCAUGAUGCUAACACAGGGAGUAACUUCACUCCUGGAGUAGCCCCACUGAGACGUGGAAGUGAAGUUAAGGCUCAGGUGCUUCAGCAUUGCUGUAGGUACAGCUCUAGGAAUUUGUUGAAUGCUACUAUUAAAGACUGUCUGGUGCC
This 212-nucleotide long non-coding RNA is filed under the name Cyanistes caeruleus (blue tit). RNAcentral describes it as "lncRNA (ENSCCEG00000018061.1)". The record is from RNAcentral. Lineage: Eukaryota; Metazoa; Chordata; Aves; Passeriformes; Paridae.